This 585-nucleotide ribosomal RNA is filed under the name uncultured archaeon. RNAcentral describes it as "bacterial SSU rRNA". It matches the Rfam family "Archaeal small subunit ribosomal RNA", at positions 76 to 663 of the family's 1478-position model. The record is from RNAcentral.
ACAAGGCGGACGGCUCAGUAACACGUAGUCAACCUAACUCGUGGACGUGGAUAACCUCGGGAAACUGAGAAUAAACCACGAUAGAUCAUAGUGCCUGGAAUGGCCUAUGGUCCAAACAGUUUACUGCCAUGGGAUGGGACUGCGGCCUAACAGCUUGUUGGUGAGGUAAUGGCCCACCAAGGCGAUUACAGGUACGGGCUCUGAGAGGAGAAGCCCGGAGAUGGGUACUGAGACACGGACCCAGGCCCUAUGGGGCGCAGCAGGCGAGAAACCUUAGCAAUGUGCGAAAGCACGACUGGGUCAGUCCGAGUGAUUCCUGAUAAAGGAGUCUUUUGCUUGUCCUAAAAGCACAGGUGAAUAUGGGGUGGGCAAGUCUGGUGUCAGCCGCCGCGGUAAUACCAGCACCUCGAGUGGUCAGGACGUUUAUUGGGCCUAAAGCAUCCGUAGCCGGCUUUGCAAGUCUUCGGUUAAAUCCACCUGCUCAACAGAUGGGCUGCUGGAGAUACUACAAAGCUAGGGAGUGGGAGAGGCAGACGGUAUUCAGUGGGUAGGGGUAAAAUCCUCUGAUCCAUUGAGGACCACCAG